CUUGUGGGUAGCGGUGAAAUUCCAAUCGAGCCCGGAGAUAGCUGGUUCUCCCCGAAAUAGCUUUAGGGCUAGCCUCAAGGUGAGAGAUACGGAGGUAGAGCACUGAAUGUCCUAGGGGGUAUUGCACCUACCGAAGACUAUCAAACUCCGAAUGCCGUCAUCUUAUACUUGGGAGUCAGACUGUGGGGGAUAAGAUUCAUAGUCGAAAGGGCAACAGCCCAGAUCGUCAGCUAAGGUCCCUAAAUGUAAGUUAAGUGGUAAAGGAUGUGGGAUUGCACAGACAACCAGGAUGUUGGCUUAGAAGCAGCCACUCAUUCAAAGAGUGCGUAAUAGCUCACUGGUCGAGUGAUCCUGCGCCGAAGAUUUCCGGGGCUAAAACUUACUACCGAAGCUACGGCAUCAGUAAUGAUGGGUAGGGGAGCUUCCCAUACGGGUUGAAGCAUUACCGUAAGGACAUGUGGACAGUAUGGGAGUGAGAAUGUUGGCAUGAGUAGCGAGAUGUGGGUGAGAAUCCCACAGGCCGUAAACCCAAGGUUUCCAGGGGAAGGUUCGUCCGCCCUGGGUUAGUCGGGACCUAAGCUGAGGCCGAAAGGCGUAGGUGAUGGACAACAGGUUGAUAUUCCUGUACUA
RNAcentral lists this ribosomal RNA (630 nucleotides) under Clostridioides difficile. RNAcentral describes it as "bacterial LSU rRNA". It matches the Rfam family "Bacterial large subunit ribosomal RNA", at positions 808 to 1446 of the family's 2925-position model. Lineage: Bacteria; Bacillati; Bacillota; Clostridia; Peptostreptococcales; Peptostreptococcaceae. The record is from RNAcentral.